Molecule: long non-coding RNA, 3387 nt
Organism: Acanthopagrus latus (yellowfin seabream)
Lineage: Eukaryota; Metazoa; Chordata; Actinopteri; Spariformes; Sparidae
Exons: 4
Source: RefSeq, a predicted model, not a curated record
UCUGUUCUGGUGGAAAACAGGUUAGUUUUUAAUGCCGCAGUACUUUGUUCUUUUUAUGGGAAUACACUGUGCAAAGUGACCCCAGGAUGCUUUAUUUGGAAAAAUGUGACCAGCGGCUCUGUAGGAACAUUCAGACAAACUGAGGUGAGCGCUGCCGCCGGGUGAAUCGAGGUACAACCAAGAGGAAGUUGAAAGUGAACAGAUAGUGGUUUUUUUUUUUUAUUGUCAAAAUGUGUUUUUAUUCUGGGUUAAGAGGAACUUCCCCUGAAUCUGAAAUGAGUUUGACCAAAACUCAUUAUAACAACGUAGGCGAGUUCGCCCAGAGGAGAUCCCCGAGUCCUCCCGGUCAAAAAGUCACUGUGGAACGAAAAAAAAGAAAACAAAAACACAGAUGGGAACAAGAAGAGGACACACAACAGACAAUAUACUAAAACACACACACACACACACACACACACACCUCUGAAUCACCGGUACUUCUAUGGGGGUUUGGUUUCAGACACUGAUUUGAAUUAAGGUUAGGAGGUCAGGUGAAAUUAUUCAAAGUUACGUCCAGUGUUGAAUUGCUUCCAGACAAAUUCUGAUAAAAUUACUUGUGUUUUAAAAGUCAACAAAAUUUCUUUAUCGUAAACUAUUUACUUUGCUUUGUUUCUGCUGCCCCCUCAUGGCCAAAAAUGUCUAAAAUUUCGUCCCGGUUUCCCACCAACGGUCGUAAACUUACUCCAAUGUAAACCCGUCCAUCCAAGGCACGGUGAAACACUUUUAGCAAAGUUGGCAUCAGAAAAGCCUGAGACGCACCGAGCAACGAUGAGGAGCUCAGUCUUCAAAAGAUUGUAAGAAACAGGUUCUGGACUUGCUUGAUUGGAGGGAUUCUGACGCAAUCAUGAGGCUCCAUUUUGUAUGAUUUAUCAGGCCUAUUGUUAUAUUUAGACAAUUCAACAAUAGACUGGACAUAUUGGCAACUAAUUUGGAUUCCACUCAGAAACUCCCUUAGCUUCCUCUAGCACUGCACGCUAACCUAUCCUACAUGCAGCAUGAUACUCGUUUCAGGGUGUAACCUUUGAAUUUUAUCGAUAUCUCUGCCAGUUCAGGGGUUGAGAUAUUUUGCUCUCGACAGUCGGACCAUCGUCCGUGUAACUAGAAAAAGACAAACAGAAAACUAAGCAAAAUACAAGCAAAAUACAGGAAAACAGGGAUGUGAUGAACAACGUGCUGGCUGUGUUUACGGUGCUGCACAUUGAUCCUGUCGUCCUCUUUAGCAUUCACGCUUCAGGGGGUCAACGUAUCUAAGCUUUACAUCCAAUAUGUUUCCCUUCCAUCUACACCAUUAAUCAGUGUCUCGUUCCUCUCUGUUGCUGCCUUGUGCCAAAAUGAAAAAGUGAUUUAUCUUCUUAAAAAAAAAAAAAAAAAAAGGGAUGGUGGUGACGAGUCUGCUGCUCAUGGCGUUAUUAUUUACGGCUUCACACGCAUAAAACAAACUGCACACAAGCACCUGAUCACUUUAAAACACCGAGAUGUGAUUUAUACUCUUCUUUAAAUCGAUAACCUCGAGAGACGGCAUGAAGAAGUGUUUCAUGCCUAUAGAGUAUUGACACUUACUUUAUAGUUUCCAGUUAAAUGGGUGGAACCUUUUUAUUUUUUUUUUUAAUUAUUCCCCAUCAGAUUUUUAAAAAAAACAAGACUGUCUUUAAUGUUCUUCCCCAGAUUCUGUCAGUGUGGGCGUUUGUUUUAAUUCAGAGCGAGCUGGUGGAUCUGUGCCUGAAAGGUGCCAGUUCUUUUUCUCCUCAUGCCUCUGGAGUUUGGCACGCCGAGGUGUUUUUUAAGCCGAAGAGGAUUUUCUCCCGAUGUGGAAAUGCCCGAUGUCCUGUAGGCACUGAAGCAAGUUCCUGCCACUUUGCAGCAUAAAUGGCUUUACUUACCACACACACACACACACACACACACACACACACACACACACUAAAGUUAACAGCAAUAUAUCUAGAGGUCUGGAGUGAGUACUUCAUGGUUAUGUUUCUAUAAUAACUAUGUUAGCUGUGAGUGGGAACCUGCAUCCAGAUUUUCAAAACUGGACAAAAUUAACAGUCUGUCCUCUGCAGGAAAACAGCCACAUAAGUCGUCAUAUAUUUACAUUUUCUGUUGGCUGUAGUAUCAUUAUGGCAGCGAAGGACGAAGCUAGGAAAAGUAUGAGGAAGUGACAAAUUCAGUGACGAGGUCUAUAAACUUACUGACAAUGUUAAGUUAAUUCAUGUAUAUAUAUAAAGUUACAUGCAACUAAAGUUACAGUAGUUAUUUCAACCCAACCAAUGAUGUAGUUUUAGUGCCUCAACCCAACCAACUGCAUCUGUACGACGGUGGUUUUGGAAACAUUUCUUUUUGGAAGUCCUUAGAAAUUAACCUUGACAGAAAACCCACCAACACCUGACAACACCUGUACUUUUUUUUUGUCUUCAGUUGGGAGGUACCAAUAAAAAGCGUUAAUUCUCAUGUGUUCCCAAAUGUUUCUGCACCAGUUACAAGUACUCACUGACUUCUAAUUGGUAGCAGUGGAAACAUGGCACCCCAGUGGACACCUCUUCUUUUCCCGGUGCAAAGUGGCCUUCCCCUGUUGGCUUCUUCGUCACGUGCCGACGAGAAAAAUCAUCAACGAAUCUGGUCAGAAACUGGCAGCAGAAACAAAGUCAUUCAUGGUUCCUGGCAUCUAAUCUCUGGCCGCUGUGCAUCUGUGCCUUCGGUGGAUGCACACAUGUGCUGCGACGUUGAAGGGAUUAAUAUUUAUUUUAAGCAGACAGAGAGAGAGAAAACCCCUCGUAUCACGCACACUGAAAUGAAAUGAAAGCCCCUACGAUUCACAAACACAAGCUGGCGGCACACAUUCAUAAUUUCCCUGAUUGGUUGAUCUGUCACGUGUUGAUCCGUCUCCAAGUCCGCUCUUGAGGGAUUAGCCAACAUGAGAUUUGCGCUGCGGUGUGCUGCUCCUGUCCCUUUAAAUUUCAUAUUUUUAGAAGAGGGGGUCGCGCUGAAAUUGCUGACACUUGAAAAUUAAAUGAGCUCGAGCCGCGUAGCUUAAGCGACACUCUUUAUAGCGGUGCCAAUACUUUAACCCUACAGAAUACUUGAGCGCUCAGCAUUAACUGGACUCUCAUUACAGGACACAACAGCUGAGACCUCAACGCGGAUUUAAAAAAAAAAAAAAAUCUGAAGCAGAAAAAAAAAUAACAGGACAGGAUUGACCAGAUCUGCUGAAGGACAAUAAUCCCUGCGUAACAUUCACGGUUGAUAACAACAGGCCCGGCCCGCGGACGGCAGCAGGAUGACCGGAUACAUUCAGCAGCUGGAACAAAAAGGAGGAUGAGCACCUUCAUUCCCUCCACCUCUCCUCCUCCU